Molecule: long non-coding RNA, 2020 nt
Filed under: Mus musculus (house mouse)
Lineage: Eukaryota; Metazoa; Chordata; Mammalia; Rodentia; Muridae
Description: predicted gene 9828
Source: RNAcentral
CCUUUCGUCCAGCGGCGGGCCGGGAGCAGCACCGGAGAGCUGGGACCCGCGGUCGCCGUCCGCGGUCCUGGGAAAGGCCGCGGAUAGAUCGGACAGUGAGGCUCCCUGUAGAGCUGUGGUUAAAUCAGUCUGCCCUGUGGCCACCCCGUAGGGCGUCCAGCUUUGUCCAGUAGGCUGCAGUGUCUGCUCAAUGCCGGGUGUAAAUAAAAAACUAUCGAAAUCAGCCAGGCUAAUGUUGCUUUCCAAAAUUAAGUGACUUGGGUGAUGUAGAAAUCGCGACUCAGAAUGUCUAGAAAGCAUGUUCGGAAUGCUUUCCAGAUCUCCACCCUUCAGCAAUUCGGUUUAUUCAAGGUUGAAACAGGGACAUGUCUAAACAAAAUAUAUGGUCAUUUUCAUCUCUGACUGGAACUUGAAUUGGCUUCAGCAAGAACCAGCUCACACCUAAGUCAUCAACAAGACUCUUGCAGAUUUCUUCUGGAGAGACAGAAAUAUCUGCAGCCAGGAGGACGGCUGUUGGAGGAAUUCAGGAGCAUUCGACGGAGUCUCCUGUAGUCGGCGAGUGGUCAGUUUUACACAUCCUCCUCAGGACCUCACAGGCAAGAACAGCAGGAUCUGCUUCCUUCAUGAAACCUUGGCUCUGUUCUAUCCAUCGACAGUCCUUCAGGAUACCUAACCUGUCCAGAAACCAAGAGAUAACGCGGACAUGCCGAGGGAUCCCCUUUACAUCCUUGUGCUCAAGUGGAUUCAGUGUCACAGUUCAAGCGCUUCUUUCUGAAAAGCCCCCUUUGGGAAGAGCAUUCUGCAGGCUGCCCCAUUUACAGUUCACAACGCGUUCUCACGACCGGCCAGGAAGAACACCACAGACCAGAAUCUUCUGCGGCAAAGCUUUAUUUCUUACAUCUUCAGGAGCCAGGGUGCAGGAAGCAAGAGAGCAAGAAGCAAGAGAGCAAGAAGCAAGAGAGCAAGAAGCAAGAGAGCAAGAAGCAAGAGAGAGAGAAAACGAAACCCCGUCCCUCUUAAGGAGCAUUCUCCUUCGCCUCGGACGUGUCACUCCCUGAUUGGCUGCAGCCCAUCGGCCGAGUUGACGUCACGGGGAAGGCAGAGCACAAGUAGUCAUAAGAUACCCUUGGCACAUGCGCAGAUUAUUUGUUUACCACUUAGAACACAGCUGUCAGCGCCAUCUUGUAACGGCGAAUGUGGGCGCGGCUCCCAACAUCUCCCCCUAUCCUUUUAAUAAGAGCAAAUAGGCCACCCAUAUUAAUGAGAGUGGAGAUAGAGGUCAAAUCCCCAGUGUGUAGGUAAAGGAGCCAUGUACAGGAUUAGCUCUUAGGCUUACAGGCUUUUACCCAGAGCAACCCUGACCUGCUCCCGUGUCGUUUUGCCUGGGGGAAGGGAACUAGGACACUGAACCUUCAUGAAAGAUGACAUGUCUCCCUAGAAUAGGCUCAUAUAUGCCGCAGAGCCUUUCCAUUGCAGUGCUUAGCCUUGCAACUCUCUCGGGCUGCUGAAGCACACUCACUCUAUCCCGUGCAAUGAGUCUAGCCUCAUGGGAUAUAAGAGCUGAGUGGCCAGCGACCUAUUGCCUAAGCAUAGAUAUAUCAGGGGAAGCUCCAUGUUCUAGUCCUGCAAGCGCCUGGGCAAUAACCACCUUGUCUCUCCUAGUUUGGGCCUUAAGCUUACAGACCAAUCAAAGAAGCAACACUAAUCCACAGCAAAGUGUAUCUCCAAAUAAUAUUAAUCCCACCCAUUUUUUAAAGAAAGAAAAUGCUGAGGAGAUCCAAUUGGGUAAUCCUUUGGUCAGCGACAGGUCCAAGCGCGUGGAGUUGACCUGAAGUCUCAAUUCCCGAAGGAUCUGUUCAAAUUCAGCCAUCCAAUUCUGUAACAUAUACUGAAAAAGACUUUUUGACAAAUUAGCUGUCCUAGUAAAUUUAACAUACUGAAUGGAAAUAACACACAAUCCCGGAAACUUUUGUUCACAUCCCUGCUGAGUUAUUUGUCAUAAUACAUCUAGUUGUAUCUG